CCUUACCUUUUGUUGCUUUGGCGGGCCGCCUAGCUACUGGCUUCGGCUGGUAAGUGCCCGCCAGAGAACCCCAAACCCAAACCAUUUAUAGUGUCGUCUGAGAAACAAGUUUAAUAUUUAAAACUUUCAACAACGGAUCUCUUGGCUCUGGCAUCGAUGAAGAACGCAGCGAAAUGCGAUAAGUAAUGUGAAUUGCAGAAUUCAGUGAAUCAUCGAAUCUUUGAACGCACAUUGCGCCCCUUGGUAUUCCGAGGGGCAUGCCUAUUCGAGCGUCAUUAUCACCCCUCAAGCUCCGGCUUGGUGUUGAGGCCUGCCGUCAAGGCACCCUCUAAAAUCAGUGGCAGUGCCGUCAGGCUCUAAGCGUAGUAAUUUCAUCGCUAUAGACCCGGGCGGACCCUCGCCAGAACCCCCCAUUUUUUUAAUGAUUGACCUCGGAUUAGGUAGGGAUACCCGCUGAACUUAAGCAUAUC
Molecule: ribosomal RNA, 470 nt
Filed under: Tetracladium ellipsoideum
Lineage: Eukaryota; Fungi; Ascomycota; Leotiomycetes; Helotiales
Description: eukaryotic LSU rRNA
Rfam family: 5.8S ribosomal RNA (bases 122-275)
Source: RNAcentral